This 253-nucleotide ribosomal RNA is filed under the name uncultured bacterium. RNAcentral's name for it is "partial 16S ribosomal RNA". It matches the Rfam family "Bacterial small subunit ribosomal RNA", at positions 524 to 776 of the family's 1533-position model. The record is from RNAcentral.
UACGUAGGGUGCGAGCGUUAAUCGGAAUUACUGGGCGUAAAGCGUGCGCAGGCGGUCUGUUAAGACCGAUGUGAAAUCCCCGGGCUUAACCUGGGAACUGCAUUGGUGACUGGCGGGCUAGAGUAUGGCAGAGGGGGGUAGAAUUCCACGUGUAGCAGUGAAAUGCGUAGAGAUGUGGAGGAAUACCGAUGGCGAAGGCAGCCCCCUGGGCCAAUACUGACGCUCAUGCACGAAAGCGUGGGGAGCAAACAGG